GUGGGGAAUUUUGGACAAUGGGCGCAAGCCUGAUCCAGCAAUGCCGCGUGCAGGAAGAAGGCCUUCGGGUUGUAAACUGCUUUUGUACGGAACGAAACGGCUCUGGUUAAUACCCGGGGCUAAUGACGGUACCGUAAGAAUAAGCACCGGCUAACUACGUGCCAGCAGCCGCGGUAAUACGUAGGGUGCAAGCGUUAAUCGGAAUUACUGGGCGUAAAGCGUGCGCAGGCGGUUUUGUAAGACAGGCGUGAAAUCCCCGGGCUCAACCUGGGAAUGGCGCUUGUGACUGCAAAGCUGGAGUGCGGCAGAGGGGGAUGGAAUUCCGCGUGUAGCAGUGAAAUGCGUAGAUAUGCGGAGGAACACCGAUGGCGAAGGCAAUCCCCUGGGCCUACACUGACGCUCAUGCACGAAAGCGUGGGGAGCAAACAGGAUUAGAAACCCUAGUAGUCC
This 450-nucleotide ribosomal RNA is filed under the name uncultured bacterium. Its description in RNAcentral is "partial 16S ribosomal RNA". It matches the Rfam family "Bacterial small subunit ribosomal RNA", at positions 354 to 796 of the family's 1533-position model. The record is from RNAcentral.